UAUUGAGGGUGAUGAUUGAUAAUGAACUAUUUUUACUUUUAAUAGCUAAUCUACCCAUUAUUUUUACUGAACACUUUAUUUUAAAUUACUAUAUAAAUAACUAAUCAUCAACCAUUAAUAUUUAAUAGCUACAACUCGUAAAAUAAUUGAUAGCUAUAAAAUAGCUAACAAACUAUUAAAACAGUUAAUAUUAUCAAACAGUGU
This 204-nucleotide unclassified non-coding RNA is filed under the name Hevea brasiliensis (rubber tree). The record is from RNAcentral. Lineage: Eukaryota; Viridiplantae; Streptophyta; Magnoliopsida; Malpighiales; Euphorbiaceae.